CCCUGCCGCUCCGGCUCGCGGUGGGCUGGCCGGCCUGGGAGGCGAGAGCGGGCUCGCGCCGCCCCGCGCUCCGGCUGCUCCCGGGCCGACCGCCGUCGGCUGCGCCGGGGGUGGGGGGAGGGGUGGUCCCGCGCCGCCGAGCGCUCCUCCCCCCCCUCCCCACGCUGCUCCGAGGCCCGGGCGGCUCUGCCCAAUGAGGAGCGGCGUUGCUGGCAGGUGGCGAGUGUUUUUGUUUUGGGUUGAAGUUGAGGCUGAGGGGAGAGAAGAGCUAGCGACGAGUCGUGGCCGCCGCCGCGGGAGGUGGAGGAGGCCCAGCCGGAGCCGAGAGGUCUUUUCUCCCCGCCGGCGGCCCCCGCCCGCCGCUCCUCGGCCUCCUCCCGGUCCCGGAACUCCCGGGCCUGCCCGGGGCCCCUCGCCUUUGCACUCCGCUCGCCGCAGCGCCGGGCCCCGGCCGCACCCGCCGGCCUCAUGAGGAGGGACGUGAACGGAGUGACCAAGAGCAGGUUUGAGAUGUUCUCAAAUAGUGAUGAAGCUGUAAUCAAUAAAAAGCUUCCCAAAGAACUCCUAUUACGGAUAUUUUCUUUUCUGGAUGUUGUUACCUUAUGUCGCUGUGCUCAGGUCUCCAGGGCCUGGAAUGUUCUGGCUCUAGAUGGCAGUAACUGGCAGCGAAUUGACCUGUUCGAUUUCCAGAGGGAUAUUGAGGGCCGGGUAGUGGAGAAUAUUUCAAAAAGAUGUGGGGGCUUUUUACGAAAGUUAAGUCUUCGUGGGUGUCUUGGAGUAGGAGACAAUGCAUUAAGGACCUUUGCACAAAACUGUAGGAACAUUGAAGUACUAAAUUUAAAUGGGUGUACAAAGACUACAGACGCUACAUGUACUAGCCUUAGCAAGUUCUGUUCCAAACUCAGGCACCUUGACUUGGCUUCCUGUACAUCAAUAACAAACAUGUCUCUAAAAGCUCUGAGUGAGGGAUGUCCACUGUUGGAGCAAUUGAACAUUUCCUGGUGUGACCAAGUAACCAAGGAUGGCAUCCAAGCACUAGUGAGAGGCUGUGGGGGUCUCAAAGCCUUAUUCUUAAAAGGCUGCACACAGCUAGAAGACGAAGCUCUCAAGUACAUAGGUGCACACUGUCCUGAACUGGUGACUUUGAACUUGCAGACCUGCUUGCAAAUCACAGAUGAAGGUCUCAUUACUAUAUGCAGAGGGUGCCAUAAGUUACAGUCCCUCUGUGCCUCCGGCUGCUCCAACAUCACGGAUGCCAUCCUGAAUGCUCUGGGUCAGAACUGCCCACGACUUAGAAUAUUAGAAGUGGCAAGGUGUUCUCAAUUAACAGAUGUAGGCUUUACCACUCUGGCCAGGAAUUGCCAUGAGCUUGAAAAGAUGGACCUGGAAGAGUGUGUUCAAAUAACAGAUAGCACCUUAAUCCAACUUUCUAUACACUGUCCUCGACUUCAAGUAUUGAGUCUGUCUCACUGUGAGCUGAUCACAGACGAUGGAAUUCGUCAUCUGGGGAAUGGGGCCUGUGCUCAUGACCAGCUGGAGGUGAUUGAACUGGACAACUGCCCACUAAUCACAGACGCGUCCCUGGAGCACUUGAAGAGCUGUCACAGCCUGGAGCGGAUAGAACUCUAUGACUGCCAGCAAAUCUCACGGGCUGGAAUCAAGAGACUCAGGACCCAUUUACCCAAUAUUAAAGUCCACGCCUACUUCGCACCUGUCACUCCACCCCCAUCAGUGGGGGGCAGCAGACAGCGCUUCUGCAGAUGCUGCAUCAUCCUAUGACAGUGGAGGUGGCAGCCGUGGCGAACUGAGUAUUUAAUGACACUUCUAGAGUUACCGCGGAGUCUCCAGUGGAAGCGACCCAGUGUUCUGGGCAAGGGUUACCACGUGAGGCAGCGUCCAGAUUCCCAGAGCCACACGUACACAUACAUACCCAUCCACUCUCGCUCUGUGACGGGGGACUGAAGAUUGUGCUGGCUUUAUCAAGUGGAUUGAUAAAACUUAGCCAUUCCUGUUGGACGUUCCCAGAAGAAAAUCAUAGGCAAGUGUCUUGUUUUGAAGAAUUGGGGUGGGGAAAUGGUAGGUGAGAUUCAAAGUAAAAGAGAAAAUCAGUUCUGGAACUGGGGUACUUUGCUUCAGGUACAAGCAUCUGUCCUGAAUAUGUAGAAACAACUGCUUCACAUGUGAGUAGAUUUACGUUCCAUCUAAUGAACUCCAGGCCCUUUUUCCUUCUGCUUUCCACACACACCUAACCAGAGUCAUCCAGUGGGGAUUGGCACCACUGAAAGAAACCCCAGGGCUUCCCAGCUGCUUCUGGGCACGGUGUUCGCCAGGGCAAGAGCAGGUAGGCAGUGCGAAUCCCCACCCAGGAAGAGGUGGGAGGGAAGAGGUGUCCAGACACAUACUUUUUCUCCUCUGCCUUCCUCCAGGAACCCGGGGAAAUCUGUGAAGUGAUGUCUUUUAUAUUAAAAUGGAAGAAGAAGUUUGCCCCACUAAGUUUCGCUUGUCAUUGUCUCUUACUACAGUUUCUUACUCAGAUCCGUACCACACUGCUGUUCACACACGUAUGUAUGUGGUUCUUCUCUUAGCCUAACUCUUCCCAAGCACCAGAAGUCAUUAUUCUAUUUUGUUUUUCUUUUUUUACGGCACUAGUGAAUGAGAACCUAAAGUCUUAGAAAAUCCUGACUUGAAAAGGAGUCUCUAAUCGGCAUGGUUUGAUUAUUUUGCCUUUCCCCCCCUAAAGACUUGAAUGAUUUUCUUUCCUAGUGCUGUGAUAGAUCUGUAAUGAGGGAAACCUUUGCUGCUACUUUUCUGGGUUUACAACAGUUUUCUUCUUCCCUUAAGAAUAAUUUGUGUUUCUCUGACGACUGUUAAUUUCUAACAAGUGCAGGAGAGGUGAGCGGAGAUUUCUUCUCUUACUCCCCUCCUCGCCCUACCCCCAGGUUACACACUAACCUUCACAGCCUCUGUGGAUGGGGCGCGUCUCUUGGAGCUGGCCCCUGUGGCUCGGUGGCUGCCCAGCACUGAGGGUUACUUCUGAAUCUUGCCUUUCUCCAUUCCUGUGUUAUGACUCAACCUUCAAAUGCCUCCCACUCUGGCCGCCUCCAUUUUCCUCCCAGGAAUCAUUUCCAAGUGACCUGCCUUGGGCAUUUCCCAGCUGCUCUCCUCACCUUUGCCCACCUUCCAGUGACCCUGAGAGCACAGGCCUGAGAAAUGCGGCCUGUGCGGAGCUCAGAGAACUGUGAGGACUACCCCUGCCCGUCAGCUCUGCCUGGGUACAGAGAUGGAUGGGUGAAUGGUGCUGUGGGAGCAAUUUUUAUCUUCAAGCCAGGCUCGCUCGUCCCUGUACCGGGCAGCCCCCUUCUGUUCCCAGCCCUUGAAGGGUAGAAUGCAGAGAGGAUGGUUGACUGGCAGGGUCUGGUACCUAACAUUAUCAUCUGGCCUACGCUGGAGCGCUUCAGUGUGUGGGAGCUGCUGCUGACUUUCUCCACGAGGCCUGCCCAGCGCUCUGCCAGUCCCUGGCACCGACAGCCCCCCACGUGGUGACCUGACGCCAGGUUCCACUCGCUGUCCAAGUGACUGUUUCCACUACUACUUUUGGCGCUUGAGAUUGCGGGGGAGGGAGGGUUAUUUAAAAUAAAUAAAAGCCAGGUGGCAGUAGAGGAUUCCUUUUGCUUUAAAAUCUUUGGACUAAAAAGAAAUGUUUUUUAUAUAUAAAUAUAUAAAGUAAAUUGUUAUGUAACUAUUCUUGUUUCCUGUAUGUUCUAAUUUUGUUUUAUGAUGUAAUUAAAGGAAAUAAGCUGUGAA
RNA transcript from Eptesicus fuscus (big brown bat), 3804 nucleotides. It is a transcript of the gene named F-box and leucine rich repeat protein 20, with no coding region annotated. NCBI's taxonomy places the organism in Eukaryota, Metazoa, Chordata, Mammalia, Chiroptera, Vespertilionidae. The record is from RefSeq and is a predicted model, not a curated record. The transcript is spliced from 16 exons.